AUGGCCGACGGCGAGGACAUCCAGCCGCUGGUGUGCGACAACGGGACAGGUAUGGUGAAGGCCGGGUUCGCCGGCGACGACGCGCCCCGGGCGGUGUUCCCCAGCAUCGUGGGGCGGCCGCGGCACACGGGGGUCAUGGUGGGCAUGGGGCAGAAGGACGCGUACGUGGGCGACGAGGCGCAGUCCAAGCGUGGUAUCCUCACCCUCAAGUAC
RNAcentral lists this ribosomal RNA (213 nucleotides) under Triticum aestivum (bread wheat). RNAcentral's name for it is "partial small subunit ribosomal RNA". Lineage: Eukaryota; Viridiplantae; Streptophyta; Magnoliopsida; Poales; Poaceae. The record is from RNAcentral.